UGCUAAUACCGGAUAACAAUAGAUGAUGCCUAUCAACUGUUUAAAAGAAUGGUUCUGCUAUCACUCUUGGAUGGACCUGCGGUGCAUUAGCUAGUUGGUAGGGUAACGGCCUACCAAGGCGAUGAUGCAUAGCCGAGUUGAGAGACUGAUCGGCCACAUUGGGACUGAGACACGGCCCAAACUCCUACGGGAGGCAGCAG
RNAcentral lists this ribosomal RNA (200 nucleotides) under uncultured Lactobacillus sp. RNAcentral's name for it is "partial 16S ribosomal RNA". It matches the Rfam family "Bacterial small subunit ribosomal RNA", at positions 161 to 354 of the family's 1533-position model. The record is from RNAcentral. Lineage: Bacteria; Bacillati; Bacillota; Bacilli; Lactobacillales; Lactobacillaceae.